Molecule: long non-coding RNA, 2449 nt
Organism: Phyllostomus discolor (pale spear-nosed bat)
Lineage: Eukaryota; Metazoa; Chordata; Mammalia; Chiroptera; Phyllostomidae
Exons: 2
Source: RefSeq, a predicted model, not a curated record
AGAAACAUCAAUUGGUUGCCUCUCCCACACACCCCAAGCCAGGAACCAGGCCCAUAGCCCUGGCAUGUAUCCUGACCAGGAACCAAGGUGGCAACACUUUGCUUUGUGAGACUACUCUCAACUAACUGAGCCACACUGGCCAGGGCAUGUUUAGCUUUCUGUGGUAUUUUUCUUUUGUUUAUUUUACAGUUGUCUGUUUUAAUCAGGAUCUAAAUCAGUCCAUACAUUGCAUUUGGCUGAUGUAUCUCUUAAGGUUUUCUGAAUCUCAGAAUUUUCACUUUUGGGAUUAAUAAUUGAUUAGACUUACUUUUAUAUGUACAAUUUAACUUUAGAGAUUUCAGAAAGUAGCCAUAUAUAAGAAUUAAAUAUAUGAGAAAGUACUUAUCUAGUUUUUUUUUUUAGUCCCCCACACAAAUGUAUGAAUGAUCUAAAUAACUGGUUUGCAAUAGUAAUCAGUCAAUUUGCUCAAUUGUAAAUAACAUCUGUAUAGUUGUUUUCUUAAUUUGCCCUGCACGUAUAGUCUUAGAAAGUAAAUAUUAUCCUGGUUAAUCUAUCUUGGUUAGGAAAACAGGUCACAAAAAUGAAAUGAUUGGUAAUUUACCAUAGAUCACCCUUAGGAACUAGUUGAAAAUUCAGAGCAUUUAAAUUUUUUUAUCAGAGCAAUAAAGAUAUUUCUGUCUUUCUUUGUACUACAGCCCCGUGUGAGUUUUCAAAUAGAUUACAAGUCACCUGAAGAUGAAAAUAUGAUUGGUAUAGGUCAGGAUAGGCUGUAUUAUUAGGUAGUGAGAAACAACCACAAAACCUCAGUUGUUUAAAACACCAAAUGUUUAUUCCUUGUUCUUCUUGCAUGUCCUUCAUGGUUGGAGGUACCUCUGCUCUUAAUAGACACUUAGGGAACUUACAGAGCCGUCACCAUUUCAAUCAUUGCUGAUUUUGCUGGGGGAGGGGGGGAGCCCUGGAAUGUAUUACAUCUGCAGUGAAAUCUUCUAGCUCAGAAGUCAUACAUCCAAUCACAAGGAGCUGUGAAGGUAGUCUUCUAUGUGCCUUAGAGGAACGAGCUAUUGGUGAGCAGUACAAAUAAAUAACUAAUGUAUUUGUAUUACACUUUAUGUAAUGAGUCUGUUACUGGACUGCUAACAGAUCUGUUCAUUUAUUUAUUCACUCACUCAUUUAUUCAUCUAAUACUUAUUGAAUGGCUGCCAUGUACAAGUUAUUUUACUAGAGAGUGAAAAUACUAAAGUGUAUAAAACAUGUUCCAUUCCUUCUCUCUAGGUUCUCAGAGUCCAGUAGAGACAAGAGGCAAGUAAUUCUAUAUUAGGGCUCAAAAAUAUCACCCAUAAGUCAUAUCUGGCUUGCAGCCUGUUUUUAUAGGAACCUUAAACUAAAAAUGCCUUAUAUUUUCAAAGGGUUGCAAAGGCAAGUGAACAAAGGAGGAAUAUACAUAACAGAGACUGUAAGUGGCCUGUGCAGCCUGAAAUAUUACUAUCUGGCCCUUUGUAGUAAGAAUCUUUGCUAACCUCUGAUCUGUAACAUCUGUCUUUAAAUUUGAAGCUCCUGAAAUGAGUCACCGUCUUACAGGGGUGUCCAACCUGCAGUCCACAUGCAGCCCAUGACGGCUGUGAAUGCAGUCCAACACAAAACCAUACAUUUACUUAAAACCUUUUUAUUUUUUUGGCUCACCAGUUUUCAUUAGUGUUUGUGUAUUUAAUGUGUGGCCCAAGACAACUCUUCUUCUAGUGUGUCCCAGAGACAUCAAGAUUCACCAAAAGGUUAGACACCCCUGGAUUGUCAGAAAAUGGCACACAGUUACCUUAUAAGCUGUGGACGUCACUUAAUAAUAUGCCUUUGUUUUACCUGAUAAUACCUUUCUCUGGAAAUAUAUGUAUUUUUUCCCUGUGUUAUUGGAAUGGUGAUUUUAUUGGCAUCUUGAGUGCUCUUGUUACUGGACAUUGGAGAUAUGGGUCCCUGUUCAAUUUGAUGCAUAUUUAGGUAGCCACAAGAUGAUCAGACUCCUAUAAUGUGUAUAUGCAGAUAUUAAGUAAUUAUUUGGGAAAAGCAAGUAAAGUGACGAUGAGGGUGUCUACUUCCUUAGAGAAAUAAGACCUAAACUUUCCAGACUUUAGAAAUCAAAGUCAGGGAAUGGAGUACACAUAAAAGUUUUUUGUUUUUUGUUUUUUUUUUAAUUUCUGGACUAUGGAUUGGGCUAUGCUGUUAAGGGUUAUAAUUUUAGAUAUUUCUUAAACUUAGUGAGAGGCUGUGGUUCAAAGUACAUGGGGUUCAAAGAAUAUAUGUCAAAUCCCUGAUAUGAAUGAGGCACUUGAGACAUAAGGACAAAUGAGAAUCACUCCUUGCACUCAAGUUCAAAAUGAAGAGGGUAUUCUGAUUCAGGUUGAGAGGAACAGGAUUGUUUGAAACAAAACUGAUUAUCUUAUUCCAAGGUAGUAUUUUG